GUGGGGAAUAUUGGACAAUGGGCGAAAGCCUGAUCCAGCCAUGCCGCGUGUGUGAAGAAGGUCUUCGGAUUGUAAAGCACUUUAAGUUGGGAGGAAGGGCAGUAAGUUAAUACCUUGUUGUUUUGACGUUACCGACAGAAUAAGCACCGGCUAACUUCGUGCCAGCAGCCGCGGUAAUACGAAGGGUGCAAGCGUUAAUCGGAAUUACUGGGCGUAAAGCGCGCGUAGGUGGUUUUGUAAGUUGGAGGUGAAAUCCCCGGGCUCAACCUGGGAACUGCCUACAAAACUGCAUGACUAGAGUACGGUAGAGGGUAGUGGAAUUUCCUGUGUAGCGGUGAAAUGCGUAGAUAUAGGAAGGAACACCAGUGGCGAAGGCGACUACCUGGACUGAUACUGACACUGAGGUGCGAAAGCGUGGGGAGCAAACAGGAUUAGAAACCCCGGUAGUCC
Molecule: ribosomal RNA, 450 nt
Filed under: uncultured bacterium
Lineage: Bacteria
Description: partial 16S ribosomal RNA
Rfam family: Bacterial small subunit ribosomal RNA
Source: RNAcentral